UGACCUCGAAUCAGGUAGAA
This 20-nucleotide ribosomal RNA is filed under the name Fusarium solani. Its description in RNAcentral is "partial 28S ribosomal RNA". Lineage: Eukaryota; Fungi; Ascomycota; Sordariomycetes; Hypocreales; Nectriaceae. The record is from RNAcentral.